GAUGAACGCUGGCGGCGUGCCUAAUACAUGCAAGUCGAGCGAACGGACGAGAAGCUUGCUUCUCUGAUGUUAGCGGCGGGCGGGUGAGUAACACGUGGAUAACCUACCUAUAAGACUGGGAUAACUUCGGGAAACCGGAGCUAAUACCGUAUAAUAUUUUGAACCGCAUGGUUCAAAAGUGAAAGACGGUCUUGCUGUCACUUAUAGAUGGUUCCGCGCUGCAUUAGCUAGUUGGUAAGGUAACGGCGUACCAAGGCAACGAUGCAUAGCCGAACUGAGAGGAUGAUCGGCCACACUGGAACUGAGACCCGGUCCAGACUCCUACGGGAGGCAGCAGUAGGGAAUCUUCCGCAAUGGGCGAAAGCCUGACGGAGCAACGCCGCGUGAGUGAUGAAGGUCUUCGGAUCGUAAAACUCUGUUAUUAGGGAAGAACAUAUGUGUAAGUAACUGUGCACAUCUGGACGGUACCUAAUCAGAAAGCCACGGCUAACUACGUG
RNAcentral lists this ribosomal RNA (497 nucleotides) under uncultured bacterium. RNAcentral's name for it is "partial 16S ribosomal RNA". It matches the Rfam family "Bacterial small subunit ribosomal RNA", at positions 28 to 507 of the family's 1533-position model. The record is from RNAcentral.